GAUGAACGCUGGCGGCGUGCCUAAUACAUGCAAGUCGAGCGAACAGACGAGGAGCUUGCUCCUCUGACGUUAGCGGCGGACGGGUGAGUAACACGUGGAUAACCUACCUAUAAGACUGGGAUAACUUCGGGAAACCGGAGCUAAUACCGGAUAAUAUAUUGAACCGCAUGGUUCAAUAGUGAAAGACGGUUUUGCUGUCACUUAUAGAUGGAUCCGCGCCGCAUUAGCUAGUUGGUAAGGUAACGGCUUACCAAGGCAACGAUGCGUAGCCGACCUGAGAGGGUGAUCGGCCACACUGGAACUGGGACACGGUCCAGACUCCUACGGGAGGCAGCAGUAAGGAAUCUUCCGCAAUGGGCGAAAGCCUGACGGAGCAACGCCGCGUGAGUGAUGAAGGUCUUCGGAUCGUAAAACUCUGUUAUUAGGGAAGAACAAAUGUGUAAGUAACUAUGCACGUCUUGACGGUACCUAAUCAGAAGGCCACGGCUAACUACGUG
RNAcentral lists this ribosomal RNA (497 nucleotides) under uncultured bacterium. RNAcentral's name for it is "partial 16S ribosomal RNA". It matches the Rfam family "Bacterial small subunit ribosomal RNA", at positions 28 to 507 of the family's 1533-position model. The record is from RNAcentral.